Molecule: ribosomal RNA, 291 nt
Filed under: uncultured fungus
Lineage: Eukaryota; Fungi
Description: partial 18S ribosomal RNA
Rfam family: Eukaryotic small subunit ribosomal RNA
Source: RNAcentral
ACUUUGGUUGGUCGCCGGCUUCUUAGAGAGACUAUCAACUCAAGUUGAUGGAAGUUUGAGGCAAUAACAGGUCUGUGAUGCCCUUAGAUGUUCUGGGCCGCACGCGCGCUACACUGACAGAGCCAACGAGUUCUUCACCUUGUUCGAAAGAAUUGGGUAAUCUUGUUAAACUCUGUCGUGCUGGGGAUAAAGCAUUGCAAUUAUUGCUUUUCAACGAGGAAUGCCUAGUAAGCGCGUGUCAUCAGCAUGCGUUGAUUACGUCCCUGACCUUUGUACACACCGCCCGUCGCU